AGGGUACUUGCAAUCCCUUUUUGGUGUAUACUCUCUUAGAAUUGAAAAUGUUGAAGUUAGAAGGCCACCCAGUGACGAUGUUAAAAUCCUCGGCGUUGCAAAUCCUAACGAUUUCAAGAACAUGUCUCCAUCCAAGUCUUUACGAUUCUACUCGUUCUUGGGAGCUGCUGUUAAUGCAGAAACUAGAGGAAGUUGGAAGCUCUGUCAAGAUGUUGUACCGAAUGAUGCAUGGGCUGAACCGUGUCAUACCCUGUUGUUAAAGAGAAUGUGAAUGACUUGUCGAACCCUGUUGUUGCUGCUAAAGUGCGGGUGAAAUGCUGGAAUCAAAUCACCGCUGAACUCCUGAGUGAGGAGAAU
Molecule: long non-coding RNA, 357 nt
Organism: Vicia villosa (hairy vetch)
Lineage: Eukaryota; Viridiplantae; Streptophyta; Magnoliopsida; Fabales; Fabaceae
Exons: 3
Source: RefSeq, a predicted model, not a curated record